UACCAGCACCCCGAGUGGUCGGGACGAUUAUUGGGCCUAAAGCAUCCGUAGCCGGUUCUACAAGUCUUCCGUUAAAUCCACCUGCUUAACAGAUGGGCUGCGGAGGAUACUAUAGAGCUAGGAGGCGGGAGAGGCAAGCGGUACUUAGUGGGUAGGGGUAAAAUCCGUUGAUCCAUUGAAGACCACCAAUGGCGAAGGCAGCUCGCUGGAACGGAACUGACGCUGAGGCGCGAAAGCGUGGGGAGCGAACAGG
This 253-nucleotide ribosomal RNA is filed under the name uncultured bacterium. Its description in RNAcentral is "partial 16S ribosomal RNA". It matches the Rfam family "Archaeal small subunit ribosomal RNA", at positions 474 to 727 of the family's 1478-position model. The record is from RNAcentral.